GAAAAGAAACCAACAGGGAUUGCCCUAGUAACGGCGAGUGAAGCGGCAACAGCUCAAAUUUGAAAUCUGGCUCUCGGGCCCGAGUUGUAAUUUGUAGAGGAUGCUUUUGAUGCGGUGCCUUCCGAGUUCCCUGGAACGGGACGCCAUAGAGGGUGAGAGCCCCGUCUGGUUGGAUGCCAAAUCUCUGUAAAGCUCCUUCGACGAGUCGAGUAGUUUGGGAAUGCUGCUCUAAAUGGGAGGUAUAUGUCUUCUAAAGCUAAAUACCGGCCAGAGACCGAUAGCGCACAAGUAGAGUGAUCGAAAGAUGAAAAGCACUUUGAAAAGAGAGUUAAAAAGUACGUGAAAUUGUUGAAAGGGAAGCGUUUAUGACCAGACUUGGGCUUGGAUAAUCAUCUGGGGUUCUCUCCAGUGCACUUUUCCAGUCCAGGCCAGCAUCAGUUUUCGCCGGGGGAUAAAGGCUUCGGGAAUGUGGCUCUCUCCGGGGAGUGUUAUAGCCCGUU
This 500-nucleotide ribosomal RNA is filed under the name Fusarium caatingaense. RNAcentral's name for it is "partial large subunit ribosomal RNA". It matches the Rfam family "Eukaryotic large subunit ribosomal RNA", at positions 56 to 567 of the family's 3401-position model. RNAcentral also lists the same sequence under 1 other name. The record is from RNAcentral. Lineage: Eukaryota; Fungi; Ascomycota; Sordariomycetes; Hypocreales; Nectriaceae.